RNAcentral lists this ribosomal RNA (460 nucleotides) under uncultured bacterium. RNAcentral describes it as "partial 16S ribosomal RNA". It matches the Rfam family "Bacterial small subunit ribosomal RNA", at positions 338 to 795 of the family's 1533-position model. The record is from RNAcentral.
CCUACGGGGUGCAGUAGUGAGGAAUAUUGGUCAAUGGACGAGAGUCUGAACCAGCCAAGUAGCGUGAAGGAUGACUGCCCUAUGGGUUGUAAACUUCUUUUAUAUGGGAAUAAAAUGUUCCACGUGUGGGAUUUUGUAUGUACCAUAUGAAUAAGGAUCGGCUAACUCCGUGCCAGCAGCCGCGGUAAUACGGAGGAUCCGAGCGUUAUCCGGAUUUAUUGGGUUUAAAGGGAGCGUAGGUGGAUUGUUAAGUCAGUUGUGAAAGUUUGCGGCUCAACCGUAAAAUUGCAGUUGAAACUGGCAGUCUUGAGUACAGUAGAGGUGGGCGGAAUUCGUGGUGUAGCGGUGAAAUGCUUAGAUAUCACGAAGAACUCCGAUUGCGAAGGCAGUUCACUGGACUGCAACUGACACUGAGGCUCGAAAGUGUGGGUAUCAAACAGGAUUAGAUACCCUGGUAGUC